RNAcentral lists this small RNA (623 nucleotides) under Rhodotorula mucilaginosa. Its description in RNAcentral is "eukaryotic LSU rRNA". The stretch from base 206 to 359 matches the Rfam family "5.8S ribosomal RNA". The record is from RNAcentral. Lineage: Eukaryota; Fungi; Basidiomycota; Microbotryomycetes; Sporidiobolales; Sporidiobolaceae.
AAGUAAAAGUCGUAACAAGGUUUCCGUAGGUGAACCUGCGGAAGGAUCAUUAGUGAAUAUAGGACGUCCAACUUAACUUGGAGUCCGAACUCUCACUUUCUAACCCUGUGCACUUGUUUGGGAUAGUAACUCUCGCAAGAGAGCGAACUCCUAUUCACUUAUAAACACAAAGUCUAUGAAUGUAUUAAAUUUUAUAACAAAAUAAAACUUUCAACAACGGAUCUCUUGGCUCUCGCAUCGAUGAAGAACGCAGCGAAAUGCGAUAAGUAAUGUGAAUUGCAGAAUUCAGUGAAUCAUCGAAUCUUUGAACGCACCUUGCGCUCCAUGGUAUUCCGUGGAGCAUGCCUGUUUGAGUGUCAUGAAUACUUCAACCCUCCUCUUUCUUAAUGAUUGAAGAGGUGUUUGGUUUCUGAGCGCUGCUGGCCUUUACGGUCUAGCUCGUUCGUAAUGCAUUAGCAUCCGCAAUCGAACUUCGGAUUGACUUGGCGUAAUAGACUAUUCGCUGAGGAAUUCUAGUCUUCGGACUAGAGCCGGGGUUGGGUUAAAGGAAGCUUCUAAUCAGAAUGUCUACAUUUUAAGAUUAGAUCUCAAAUCAGGUAGGACUACCCGCUGAACUUAAGCAU